Molecule: ribosomal RNA, 321 nt
Filed under: uncultured Eocercomonas
Lineage: Eukaryota; Cercozoa; Cercomonadida; Cercomonadidae
Description: SSU rRNA
Rfam family: Eukaryotic small subunit ribosomal RNA (bases 101-321)
Source: RNAcentral
GAUUUCUGACUUGGUGCGCGCUGUCCGUUGCGGUUACGUGACGUGUGCAGUAGCGCGCCUGUCAUACUUCUGGAUUUUGAUGUUGCCCUUCACUGGGUGAUGUCGCUAUCUAGAUCUUUUACUUUGAAAAAAUUAGAGUGUUUCAAGCAGGCUUUAUGCUAUGAAUACAUUAGCAUGGAAUAAUAAUUUAGGACUUCGGUUCUAUUUUGUUGGUUUCUAGGACUGAAGUAAUGAUUGAUAGGGACAGUUGGGGGUGCUAGUAUUCAGCGGCCAGAGGUGAAAUUCUCGGAUUCGCUGAAGACUAACUUAUGCGAAAGCAUU